CAGUCGCCGCGGGAAUACGUAGGUGGCAAGCGUUGUCCGGAAUUAUUGGGCGUAAAGGGCUCGCAGGCGGUUUCUUAAGUCUGAUGUGAAAGCCCCCGGCUCAACCGGGGAGGGUCACUGGAAACUGGGAAACUUGAGUGCAGAAGAGGAGAGUGGAAUUCCACGUGUAGCGGUGAAAUGCGUAGAGAUGUGGAGGAACACCAGUGGCGAAGGCGACUCUCUGGUCUGUAACUGACGCUGAGGAGCGAAAGCGUGGGGAGCGAACAGGAUUAGAUACCCGAGUAGUCCCUGUCUCUUAUAC
Molecule: ribosomal RNA, 301 nt
Filed under: uncultured bacterium
Lineage: Bacteria
Description: partial 16S ribosomal RNA
Rfam family: Bacterial small subunit ribosomal RNA
Source: RNAcentral